RNAcentral lists this ribosomal RNA (297 nucleotides) under uncultured Pseudomonadota bacterium. RNAcentral's name for it is "uncultured proteobacterium partial 16S ribosomal RNA". It matches the Rfam family "Bacterial small subunit ribosomal RNA", at positions 29 to 351 of the family's 1533-position model. The record is from RNAcentral. Lineage: Bacteria; Pseudomonadati; Pseudomonadota.
AACGAACGCUGGCGGCGUGGAUUAGGCAUGCAAGUCGAACGGGCGCAGCAAUGCGUCAGUGGCAGACGGGUGAGUAACGCGUGGGAACGUGCCCUUCGGUUCGGAAUAACUCAGGGAAACUUGAGCUAAUACCGGAUACGUGCGAGAGCAGAAAGAUUUAUCGCCGAAGGAUCGGCCCGCGUCCGAUUAGCUAGUUGGUGAGGUAACGGCUCACCAAGGCGACGAUCGGUAGCUGGUCUGAGAGGAUGAUCAGCCACACUGGGACUGAGACACGGCCCAGACUCCUACGGGUGGCAG